Megalopta genalis is the source of this 777-nucleotide non-coding RNA. The record is from RefSeq and is a predicted model, not a curated record. NCBI's taxonomy places the organism in Eukaryota, Metazoa, Arthropoda, Insecta, Hymenoptera, Halictidae.
UUCAAUUAGUACUAAUAACGAUAAAAAACACUAAUGAUGCAUAUUUUUAUAUUUUUAAUAUAAAUCCGGAAAUAGGGUCAGAUUUUAGAACUUGUCCGUAUCUCCAUGCCCUCUGGUAUUAGACCGCGAGAUCGAACCUAACCUCAUUUUCAUUGAAAACAGUUGGAAAAGCAUGCAUGAAGUACACGCACGAGAAUAUGGAAAGACACGGAAUUAUGAAAAGGCACCAUAUAUUGCCUCGGAUUCGAUCUACUUCGAAUGUGACAAAAUUAAUUUUGGUGAAUAAAUAAAUAAUUUAUGUUGUAGUUACAAAAUCCAGGUACUUUUUUUUACAUAAUGUGCGUCGCGGUGUGAAUAAUCAAGCCACCUUUAUCCGUGAAGCUUUUUGAACAGUUUGCUUUGCAAUUGUGCUCGAUUAAUGAUCCUAACUCGUAAACUGCAAGGUGUGGAGGUUCUGUAAGUGGAACUUCGUGCCCGUUAACCUGCAAUUUAUUAAUUGUUUCAAUUUCCGGUUUUGGAAUUUUUUAAACAAUCAAGUAGUACUUUGAUCGUUCGAUUUGUAUAUCGGAAUGCUUGCUUUAUCCCUAUACUGCAGUCGCAGUGGACGCCUGUACUGAUUGUUCUUUGAAAUCCUGUAAAAUUCUCCGGAUCUUGUCCUGUCACUUCAAUCUUAAUAAAUAAAUACGAUUUAUACUAUCCAUAUCGAAUAUUAUGUCAGAUUAAGGAUUCUGGAAUACGUUCAUGCAGAAUGUUUAAUAAAAAAUUUCCGUACAGUGA